AGUGAACGCUGGCGGUAGGCCUAACACAUGCAAGUCGAACGGCAGCACAGUAAGAUCUUGCUCUUACGGGUGGCGAGUGGCGGACGGGUGACGAAUACAUCGGAAUCUACUUUUUCGUGGGGGAUAACGUGGGGAAACUUACGCUAAUACCGCAUACGACCUACGGGUGAAAGCAGGGGAUCUUCGGACCUUGCGCGAUUGAAUGAGCCGAUGUCGGAUUAGCUAGUUGGGGGGGUAAAGGCCCACCAAGGCGACGAUACGUAGCUGGUCUGAGAGGAUGAUCGGCCACACUGGAACUGAGACACGGUCCAGACUCCUACGGGAGGCAGCAGUGGGGAAUAUUGGGCAAUGGGCGCAAGCCUGAUCCAGCCAUACCGCGUGGGUGAAGAAGGCCUUCGGGUUGUAAAGCCCUUUUGUUGGGAAAGAAAAGCAGCAGGUUAAUACCCCGCUGUUCUGACGGUACCCAAAGAAUAAGCACCGGCUAACUUCGUG
RNAcentral lists this ribosomal RNA (492 nucleotides) under uncultured bacterium. RNAcentral describes it as "partial 16S ribosomal RNA". It matches the Rfam family "Bacterial small subunit ribosomal RNA", at positions 29 to 507 of the family's 1533-position model. The record is from RNAcentral.